Molecule: long non-coding RNA, 1052 nt
Organism: Peromyscus californicus insignis
Lineage: Eukaryota; Metazoa; Chordata; Mammalia; Rodentia; Cricetidae
Exons: 4
Source: RefSeq, a predicted model, not a curated record
UUCUCUGCACUGCAGAGCCCACACACAGCCCAAACCCCGCAGGAGCUGCCUGACCCCUGCUCAGGUGACUGCCGGCAUGCAGCGGCCGUGUGGGGAGCCUGUAGCCCAGGCGGGUCACGCAACCGCGGUUCCUGUAACCACUGCCAGAAGCAUUGCGCAUUCAGUGGCGGAUCGAGCACCUUGUCAGACAGAAAGGUGCCUGCGCUAGGCGCCUUUCUAGUUCUGUGCUCGUAGCGGCUGGGUCGGGUCCCAGCCCCCAGGAGAUGGCCAGCAGACUGUUCCUUUACUUUUAAAACUGUUUGGUAUAGCUGCUGCAAAUUCCAUCUUUUGAAACUCCUGCUGCCGCUCCGCCAUCGCCAUUCCGUGCACAGCCGCUGCCACUGUUGGGUGUAUUACCUCAUUUGUUGUGAUCCCGACAGCUCUGCCCAGGACUCAUGGGCAGGGGGUUGCCUGGCUUAGUGUUUGAUUCCCAGGAGCCGGUUCAGGGAGCUGAGUCAGCUCGCACCAGACCUGUUUUGGCACUACACCUGCGACAGCUACUGGCAAAACAUUGAUACUUCAUCCAAAAAUCAUCCAACGAACCAGCCAUUUGCUCAACCCGGUCAAUUACAUCUGGAACAGCUGAACACUUAGGACAAUCUCUUGAGGAUCUUACUUGAGACACCCCAUUUGGAAGUUUGUCUUCCUGGUACAAAAUGGCCUGCUGGGCAAAGAACUGCCCAUGCCUCAACUGCUGAUGUAUGCGCCGAGAUCCUGAACGGAGGUUGGCUCAUCUGCAACCUCCCACUUUCCAUCUGCCUGGCCGCUGGACCUCUCAGCACAACACUGGCUGCUUCGAUUGGACACAAGGAAAAGCGACUGCUGAACCUUGCCAAGACAAGCCUUGCCAAGACAAGGUUUUGUUUUUGCCCAGGAUCGUGGUGAUGUAUGGAUGCAGAGGCUUGGAAGGUGUGGGUCUUUGCACUCCACAGACUGCUACAGGUGCCUGUGAAAUUCUUAAAAACACAGCUUGGCCUGCUCCAGGCUGGCUGCAGUGGGGUCCUGACCAUGGA